AGAAAAAAGAAGAAGAAGAAGAAUGUAAUGCCGUGCGACGGCGUAGUAUAACUGAAAACUGAUUUCUCUCUAAGCUGACUAGAUCUGCUUGCUAGACCUGCGUCCAUUUAACCAUCUACUCCGAGGGAAGUUGAGAUUUUUUUUACAUUUCCCUUUAGGAGAAGUCACAUGUACCUGCACGAUCUUUAUCAACGUAUAACCAGACUAUCCGGAACCGGAAACAGACGAACGAAAAAGCCAAAAUGUUAUGCCAUCUCCGAGAAAAUUCAAGUUAACAUUGUUGUUACCUAAAAGUAUUUUGCGACCUCAACGAACGAAUUCUGGAAAAAAAUCCGCAUAACCCCAGAAAAC
Malaya genurostris is the source of this 351-nucleotide long non-coding RNA. RefSeq lists it as uncharacterized. Lineage: Eukaryota; Metazoa; Arthropoda; Insecta; Diptera; Culicidae. The record is from RefSeq and is a predicted model, not a curated record. The transcript has 3 exons.